GACGAACGCUGGCGGCGUGCUUAACACAUGCAAGUCGAACGGUGAAGCGCCUUCCUUUUUGGUGGGUGUGGAUGAGUGGCGAACGGGUGAGUAACACGUGAGUAACCUGCCCCCUUCUUCUGGAUAACCGCAUGAAAGUGUGGCUAAUACGGGAUAUUCUGGGUCUGUCGCAUGAUGGGUCUGGGAAAGAUAUUGUUUCGGUGGGGGAUGGGCUCGCGGCCUAUCAGCUUGUUGGUGGGGUGAUGGCCUACCAAGGCGGUGACGGGUAGCCGGCCUGAGAGGGUGGACGGUCACACUGGGACUGAGACACGGUCCAGACUCCUACGAGAGGCAGCAGUGGGGAAUAUUGCACAAUGGGCGCAAGCCUGAUGCAGCGACGCCGCGUGAGGGAUGGAGGCCUUCGGGUUGUGAACCUCUUUCGCCAGUGAAGCAGGCCUGCCUCGUUUGUGGGUGGGUUGACGGUAGCUGGAUAAGAAGCGCCGGCUAACUACGUG
RNAcentral lists this ribosomal RNA (494 nucleotides) under uncultured bacterium. RNAcentral's name for it is "partial 16S ribosomal RNA". It matches the Rfam family "Bacterial small subunit ribosomal RNA", at positions 28 to 507 of the family's 1533-position model. The record is from RNAcentral.